Bombyx mori (domestic silkworm) is the source of this 2336-nucleotide long non-coding RNA. RefSeq lists it as uncharacterized. The transcript is spliced from 6 exons. The record is from RefSeq and is a predicted model, not a curated record. NCBI's taxonomy places the organism in Eukaryota, Metazoa, Arthropoda, Insecta, Lepidoptera, Bombycidae.
UUUUCUUCACGUAUUAAUAAUAUGAUGGAAUAGUUACAAAAUUUAAAUGGUUUUGAUUUUUAAUAAUAAGUCUUUGCGUAUUUAUUCACUUCAUGUGUUCUCACCGGCUUUGAGCUGCAAGUAAUUGAUGUAACUUGAGGCUAUAUAGGUCGCCUUUGUGGCUACAUAGAAGUUUAAUGAUGUGAAAACUAAAAAAAGGCACCUAUAUUCGGAUUUUUUAUUAGACGAAGUCAACUGACGUUUACUGUGUUGUCAGUUUUUGAUGAAAUAAAAAUAGUGUUGUGACAAAGUGAACGAUUGAAAAAACUCCUGAAUUAAUGAAAUUGCCUCGAUUGUCUAGUGAACAGUUGGUGUGCCGAAUUGCCGAUAUCGGGUACGGGGUUCGAAUUUUAGGCGUGCUUUGUACAUACCAACGAUUUUUCGACGAAAUAUUAUGUUCCUAUAGUAUCUAGCUGUACUGAAUACCGAGUGUUUUAAUUAAGAAAAACACUGCGAGGAAGCUUGUAAGACUGUCAUAUUUCCAAUACAUCAUAUAGUUGAAAUUAUAGAUGUAUAAAAUAUAACAAUUAUAGGUAGGUAAUGAAAAUAAAAAAGCUGAUUGUAGUUACAUACUACUAGCAACAUAUAUUGGAGCACUCUAAUACAAUUUUAUUGUAAAAUAUAAAUAAUACUCUUUUAUAGUUUGAAAUUAAUGAUUAACUCUUCACACUCAUUGUUCAUUUGUGAUUGAACGAGAACUGAACGCAUCACUAUUACUUUAAAUAUAGCAACAUUAUUUCACAAAGUGACAUUAGCUACUGUCAGCUAGCUUCGUCUAAUUAAAAAUCCGACUAUAAAAUAAAUCCUUAAAUACGUGAACGUUGUAUUUUUAUUAAUUUGUGACUUUUAUACAUAAGUGUAUAUUUAAAUUAGUCUGGUGUUUUCCUCCUUUCUUUAUGUUGUUUCUUGCUUGCUGAUUGUUUUUAAUUAUUUUUUUUGUUUCUAUGCUUUUGUUUCUCUAGUGUUUUUAAUUUGUUUAUAUUGAUUAAUUGUAUACAGCCGAAAUCUGUCGAUCAAACUGAGGAGGAAAGGAUUUUUCCAUACAAUAUAAUCAAAAAGUCAUCUUGGCCUAAAAGAUAGUCGCCUGGUAACCUACUCGAAUGACUACAAACAGACUGGUUGUGGACAUUUUAUUCUAAAACAUUGAAUCUGUUUGCGGCCACGAGGAUUCGUUUUACGGCCGCGCCUGAAUUUCGGACCGCCUUUCAAUUUAUCAUCUUACUAAAUUCAAGACUUUACCUCGAAGAAUCGAUUUAAACAGAAAGGCCGGCGCCCUACCCCGGACCGGGCCGGAGUCCAGUCGGGGCCAUUGACACUGGCCCUAGCAAGAGCCGUGCUUCGCAGAAUCUACCACAGGAUCGGAAACGCGACCCACUGAGAAGAUCUGGCGAGAAACUCAGUGGGCUGUGUCUAUGGAUUAAUUCGCUCGUCGAGCUUUUCGAGUUAUUCCUUUACCGUGGAAGUCAAUCGUGAACAUUUGUUGAGUUGCUCUAUGACAACACCCAAUCAGCCGAGACUGCCAAUCAAGAAGAAUUGUCACCGAUAAUAAGAACUCGGGAAGAGACGCAAAAAAAUAAUCAAAUACAGCGGCAUCAGGUUUUUGCAUUCAAUCGACCGGAAGCGCCCACUUAAAACUUCAAUCGAGACCUCACGUGAAUUGAAGUUUGAAUCGGCUUUAUCGCGGUGUGUUAAGGCACAAAUUCGUUUUGCACACAUUAGGGCGGUCACUGAACUGUGAUGUGUGACUAUUAGCUAACACCUGCCGAGAGAUGCUCAAUGAUUUUUGUUUUUAUAAGGAUGUCUUUAUGCAAACGUUAUCAAGUUUGGUAUUGUUGAAUGUUUUUAUUUAUAAUAUAAGUUUAUAAGUUUGUAAUAUGACCGUUUCACUAAUUUUUGGGUAUGUUGAGAACUUGCAGCGAGAUGUAUCACACCCGUAUUCCGAAUAGUGUUCAGUUUUUAAAUGUUCACGAAGAGAAGUACAUAAACAAUCAAAAUCAAUCAAUCAAUCAAAAAUUCACCCCUUCGUUGUAAAUACGAAUGACAAGUUAGAAUAAUACACAUUUAUUGGGUUUUUAUCUAAAUUAAAGUGGAUUUUGGAUGUAAGCUUCUUGCAUAACUACAUCCGUUGAAGCUUACAAAACAAUUGACGGAUCGAAAGCAAAAAUAAAACAGUUUAAUUCAACGUAAAAGUAGUUCGAUUACAUCGUCUAGCCUUGACACAUUGGGUACUCACAAAUAUUUUUUUUCUGAUUUAUAAUUAUGAAUUACCAAUAAAAUAUGGUAUAUAAAAUAAAUAA